CCUACGGGAGGCAGCAGUGGGGAAUAUUGGACAAUGGGCGAAAGCCUGAUCCAGCAAUGCCGCGUGAGUGAAGAAGGCCUUCGGGUUGUAAAGCUCUUUUACCCGGGAAGAUAAUGACUGUACCGGGAGAAUAAGCUCCGGCUAACUCCGUGCCAGCAGCCGCGGUAAUACGGAGGGAGCUGGCGUUGUUCGGAAUUACUGGGCGUAAAGCGUACGUAGGCGGCUUGGUAAGUCAGAGGUGAAAGCCCACGACUCAAUCGUGGAACUGCCUUUGAGACUGCUUCGCUUGAAGAUGGGAGAGGUUAGUGGAAUUCCGAGUGUAGAGGUGAAAUUCGUAGAUAUUCGGAAGAACACCAGUGGCGAAGGCGGCUAACUGGACCAUUCUUGACGCUGAGGUACGAAAGCGUGGGGAGCAAACAGGAUUAGAUACCCUGGUAGUCCACGCCGUAAACGAUGAUAACUAGCUGUCGGGGCUCUUGGAGCUUCGGUGGCGCAGCUAACGCAUUAAGUUAUCCGCCUGGGGAGUACGGCCGCAAGGUUAAAACUCAAAGAGUAAUACGACGNGNGAGAGCGACGACGACGACGAGGAGGAG
RNAcentral lists this ribosomal RNA (593 nucleotides) under uncultured bacterium. RNAcentral's name for it is "bacterial SSU rRNA". It matches the Rfam family "Bacterial small subunit ribosomal RNA", at positions 338 to 945 of the family's 1533-position model. The record is from RNAcentral.